Molecule: ribosomal RNA, 474 nt
Filed under: uncultured bacterium
Lineage: Bacteria
Description: bacterial SSU rRNA
Rfam family: Bacterial small subunit ribosomal RNA
Source: RNAcentral
GAUGAACGCUGGCGGCGUGCCUCAAACAUGCAAGUCGAGCGAGGCUAUGAAUUACCGCAAGGUAAGGCAUAGCCUAGCGGCGAACGGGUGAGUAACACGUGGGUAACCUACCUGGAAGACAGGGAUAACGAUUCGAAAGGGUCGCUAAUACCUGAUAAUAUCCGCCUGCCGGAUGGCGGAGGGAAGAAAGGGGAAACCCGCUUUCAGAUGGGCCCGCGUCCCAUCAGCUAGUUGGUAAGGUAAAGGCUUACCAAGGCGACGACGGGUAGCCGGUCUGAGAGGAUGUACGGCCACACUGGGACUGAGAUACGGCCCAGACUCCUACGGGAGGCAGCAGUUGGGAAUCUUAGGCAAUGGACGAAAGUCUGACCUAGCGACGCCGCGUGAGGGAAGAAGGCCUUCGGGUUGUAAACCUCUGUCAUGGGGAAGAAGGAAGUGACGGUACCCCAAGAGGAAGCCCCUGCUAACUACGUG